UCCUCUUAAGGGCAUUUUUAUUUAGUUGGUAAUAUUUAAUUUAGAUUGAUUGAUAAUUACUGAAUAUUUACCAAACCACCUUUCACUUUUUAUUUACAGUGUGGAAAGACUGAGAACAUACACAAAGAGACAUAAGGAAGAAUGACCAAAGGACUAGAAUACUGGACCAGAUCUUUAAGUAAAAAAGGCCCAUAGGUUGGUAGAGAUGAAGAGUGAAGGAAAUCCAAGUGUGAAUGGAACGUACAAAGUUAAGACUAAAUAAAAGGGCUACUCACAAUAUAGCAGAGAUCCAAAAGACCACUGGAGAAAGGGAG
RNAcentral lists this long non-coding RNA (314 nucleotides) under Capra hircus (goat). RNAcentral describes it as "lncRNA (ENSCHIG00000003985.1)". The record is from RNAcentral. Lineage: Eukaryota; Metazoa; Chordata; Mammalia; Artiodactyla; Bovidae.